This 326-nucleotide ribosomal RNA is filed under the name Entelexis sorbosivorans. Its description in RNAcentral is "Starmerella sorbosivorans partial large subunit ribosomal RNA". It matches the Rfam family "Eukaryotic large subunit ribosomal RNA", at positions 179 to 483 of the family's 3401-position model. Lineage: Eukaryota; Fungi; Ascomycota; Dipodascomycetes; Dipodascales; Trichomonascaceae. The record is from RNAcentral.
GACCAAGUCUUCUGGAACGGAGCGCCAUGGAGGGUGACAGCCCCGUAGCAGCAGCCACUGUAAAUCCGGGUCGACGAGUCGAGUUGUUUGGGAAUGCAGCUCUAAGUGGGUGGUAUGCUCCAUCUAAAGCUAAAUAUUGGCGAGAGACCGAUAGCGAACAAGUACUGUGAAGGAAAGAUGAAAAGAACUUUGAAAAGAGAGUGAAAAAGUACGUGAAAUUGUUGAAAUGGAAGGCAAUGAGGUGCGAUUGAACCGGACGUUUGCGGGCAGGACAAAAGCGCAGGCCGCCUCGGCAUUGCCUGCGUGCAUACUGCCUCGCGGACUAC